Long non-coding RNA from Salvia miltiorrhiza (redroot sage), 920 nucleotides. RefSeq lists it as uncharacterized. NCBI's taxonomy places the organism in Eukaryota, Viridiplantae, Streptophyta, Magnoliopsida, Lamiales, Lamiaceae. The record is from RefSeq and is a predicted model, not a curated record. The transcript is spliced from 2 exons.
GCUUCUAUUUUGGGCCGAAUUAAAUCAUUUGGGCCGAGUCUUUUCCUUUAGGACUAGAGUGUUGGGCUUGAGUAUUGGGCUCCGUUUAUUUAAAUAAGUUAUGGGCCGAUUUUCUUUUAAUUGAAUCUGGGCUAAUUUUAUUUAUUCAACAUGGACUCAGUUUUAAUUAAUAGUUGGGCCUUUAUUUAUUUAAAAAUUUUGGGCUGUUUUCUAUUAAUUAAAUGGACUACACUUAUAUUAAUUAAUUGGACUAUUAAUUAGUUUAAUUAAUUUAUUCAAAGAUUUGUUUUCAUAAUAAUAUUAAAUUAUUAUUAUGUGCAUAUUUUAAGUAAAUUACUUAUUAUAUGCUAAGCAUGACAUGAAAUUGCAUUUUUACUUGCAAUAAAAGUAUUUAAUUGGUUUUAAUUAUAAUUCCAAUUAUUAAAGAAAGAUGAGUAAGAAUAUUGUUGGUGUUCUUAACUCAAGAGAAAUAUUUUCAAGUAUUUAUUUAUUAAAUUUUGAAAACCCGGCUAAGUGAAUCAUAGAAUGUUAAGCACUACACCAUGACUUAAGAUUAGAUACAAGGAGACCUAUUGAGAAUAGAUUUCUUGUAGGCUUCGAGCAUCAGAAGGAUUAGCACUGCUAUUCCGAUUCAGAGAUAAGGUUAAACGACAGGCUUUGCCUAUACAGGUUGAGCAGUUGAUGGAAUGGAAUGAUGUUGAGCGGGUGUUCCUUUGACAUUUCAAGAAAUAUAACCUUGAGUAUACAUCUUCAUAUGUAUAUCUCACACGUUUUUCCGCUGCAAAACACUUUGAUUAGGAUAACUUUAUGUUAUGAAGUUGGGAUACGUGUUAUUGGGUAACCCACCUUAAUCAGUUCUCAUUUAUGUGUAUGUUUUAUAAGUAUCCAAAUAAUCAUAUAUGAUCCUAGCAUUUUAUCUA